ACGAUGCAUAGCCGACCUGAGAGGGUGAUCGGCCACACUGGGACUGAGACACGGCCCAGACUCCUACGGGAGGCAGCAGUAGGGAAUCUUCCGCAAUGGACGAAAGUCUGACGGAGCAACGCCGCGUGAGUGAUGAAGGGUUUCGGCUCGUAAAACUCUGUUGUUAAGGAAGAAUACUUGAGGUAGUAACUGGCCUUGAGAUGACGGUACUUAACCAGAAAGCCACGGCUAACUACGUGCCAGCAGCCGCGGUAAUACGUAGGUGGCAAGCGUUAUCCGGAAUUAUUGGGCGUAAAGCGCGCGUAGGCGGUAAAAUAAGUCUGAUGUGAAAGCCCCCGGCUCAACCGGGGAGGGUCAUUGGAAACUGUUUUACUUGAGUACAGAAGAGGAGAGUGGAAUUCCAUGUGUAGCGGUGAAAUGUGCAGAGAUAUGGAGGAACACCAGUGGCGAAGGUCGACGCGGCCG
RNAcentral lists this ribosomal RNA (465 nucleotides) under uncultured bacterium. RNAcentral describes it as "bacterial SSU rRNA". It matches the Rfam family "Bacterial small subunit ribosomal RNA", at positions 276 to 731 of the family's 1533-position model. The record is from RNAcentral.